RNAcentral lists this ribosomal RNA (604 nucleotides) under Streptomyces venezuelae. RNAcentral's name for it is "bacterial SSU rRNA". It matches the Rfam family "Bacterial small subunit ribosomal RNA", at positions 252 to 866 of the family's 1533-position model. Lineage: Bacteria; Bacillati; Actinomycetota; Actinomycetes; Kitasatosporales; Streptomycetaceae. The record is from RNAcentral.
GUGGGGUAAUGGCCUACCAAGGCGACGACGGGUAGCCGGCCUGAGAGGGCGACCGGCCACACUGGGACUGAGACACGGCCCAGACUCCUACGGGAGGCAGCAGUGGGGAAUAUUGCACAAUGGGCGAAAGCCUGAUGCAGCGACGCCGCGUGAGGGAUGACGGCCUUCGGGUUGUAAACCUCUUUCAGCAGGGAAGAAGCGAAAGUGACGGUACCUGCAGAAGAAGCGCCGGCUAACUACGUGCCAGCAGCCGCGGUAAUACGUAGGGCGCAAGCGUUGUCCGGAAUUAUUGGGCGUAAAGAGCUCGUAGGCGGCUUGUCACGUCGGGUGUGAAAGCCCGGGGCUUAACCCCGGGUCUGCAUCCGAUACGGGCAGGCUAGAGUGUGGUAGGGGAGAUCGGAAUUCCUGGUGUAGCGGUGAAAUGCGCAGAUAUCAGGAGGAACACCGGUGGCGAAGGCGGAUCUCUGGGCCAUUACUGACGCUGAGGAGCGAAAGCGUGGGGAGCGAACAGGAUUAGAUACCCUGGUAGUCCACGCCGUAAACGUUGGGAACUAGGUGUUGGCGACAUUCCACGUCGUCGGUGCCGCAGCUAACGCAUUAAGUU